Molecule: ribosomal RNA, 495 nt
Filed under: uncultured bacterium
Lineage: Bacteria
Description: partial 16S ribosomal RNA
Rfam family: Bacterial small subunit ribosomal RNA
Source: RNAcentral
GACGAACGCUGGCGGCGUGCCUAAUACAUGCAAGUAGAACGCUGAAGGAGGAGCUUGCUUCUCUGGAUGAGUUGCGAACGGGUGAGUAACGCGUAGGUAACCUGCCUGGUAGCGGGGGAUAACUAUUGGAAACGAUAGCUAAUACCGCAUAAUAGCAGUUGUUGCAUGAUAACUGUUUGAAAGGUGCAAUUGCACCACUACCAGAUGGACCUGCGUUGUAUUAGCUAGUUGGUGGGGUAACGGCUCACCAAGGCGACGAUACAUAGCCGACCUGAGAAGGGGCUCGGCCACACUGGGACUGAGACACGGCCCAGACUCCUACGGGAGGCAGCAGUAGGGAAUCUUCAGCAAUGGACGGAAGUCUGACCGAGCAACGCCGCGUGAGUGAAGAAGGUUUUCGGAUCGUAAAGCUCUGUUGUAAGAGAAGAACGAGUGUGAGAGUGGAAAGUUCACACUGUGACGGUAUCUUACCAGAAAGGGACGGCUAACUACGUG